CUGCCUGGUAGUGGGGGAUAACGUUCGGAAACGGACGCUAAUACCGCAUACGUCCUACGGGAGAAAGCAGGGGACCUUCGGGCCUUGCGCUAUCAGAUGAGCCUAGGUCGGAUUAGCUAGUUGGUGAGGUAAUGGCUCACCAAGGCGACGAUCCGUAACUGGUCUGAGAGGAUGAUCAGUCACACUGGAACUGAGACACGGUCCAGACUCCUACGGGAGGCAGCAGUGGGGAAUAUUGGACAAUGGGCGAAAGCCUGAUCCAGCCAUGCCGCGUGUGUGAAGAAGGUCUUCGGAUUGUAAAGCACUUUAAGUUGGGAGGAAGGGCAUUAACCUAAUACGUUAGUGUUUUGACGUUACCGACAGAAUAAGCACCGGCUAACUCUGUGCCAGCAGCCGCGGUAAUACAGAGGGUGCAAGCGUUAAUCGGAAUUACUGGGCGUAAAGCGCGCGUAGGUGGUUUGUUAAGUUGGAUGUGAAAUCCCCGGGCUCAACCUGGGAACUGCAUUCAAAACUGACUGACUAGAGUAUGGUAGAGGGUGGUGGAAUUUCCUGUGUAGCGGUGAAAUGCGUAGAUAUAGGAAGGAACACCAGUGGCGAAGGCGACCACCUGGACUAAUACUGACACUGAGGUGCGAAAGCGUGGGGAGCAAACAGGAUUAGAUACCCUGGUAGUCCACGCCGUAAACGAUGUCAACUAGCCGUUGGAAGCCUUGAGCUUUUAGUGGCGCAGCUAACGCAUUAAUUUGACCG
RNAcentral lists this ribosomal RNA (750 nucleotides) under Pseudomonas sp. Its description in RNAcentral is "bacterial SSU rRNA". It matches the Rfam family "Bacterial small subunit ribosomal RNA", at positions 126 to 871 of the family's 1533-position model. The record is from RNAcentral. Lineage: Bacteria; Pseudomonadati; Pseudomonadota; Gammaproteobacteria; Pseudomonadales; Pseudomonadaceae.